RNAcentral lists this non-coding RNA (22 nucleotides) under Arabidopsis thaliana (thale cress). The record is from RNAcentral. Lineage: Eukaryota; Viridiplantae; Streptophyta; Magnoliopsida; Brassicales; Brassicaceae.
CAGAGUUUCAGGGACGAACUCG